UCGAGGAUCUUCGGCAAUGAGCGCAAGCUUGACCGAGCGACGCCGCGUGUGCGACGAAGGCCUUCGGGUUGUAAAGCACUGUCGAGGGGGAGGAAAGCCCGCAAGGGUCUGACCUAUCCCUGGAGGAAGCACGGGCUAAGUUCGUGCCAGCAGCCGCGGUAAGACGAACCGUGCAAACGUUGUUCGGAAUCACUGGGCUUAAAGGGCGCGUAGGCGGGCAUUAAAGUCAGGGGUGAAAUCCCCCAGCUUAACUGGGGAACUGCCUUUGAUACUGAAUGUCUCGAGUAAGGUAGGGGCGUGCGGAACUGAUGGUGGAGCGGUGAAAUGUGUUGAUAUCAUCAGGAACUCCGGUGGCGAAAGCGGCACGCUGGACCUUCACUGACGCUGAGGCGCGAAAGCUAGGGGAGCGAACGG
Molecule: ribosomal RNA, 414 nt
Filed under: uncultured bacterium
Lineage: Bacteria
Description: bacterial SSU rRNA
Rfam family: Bacterial small subunit ribosomal RNA
Source: RNAcentral